This 335-nucleotide small nuclear RNA is filed under the name Erinaceus europaeus (western European hedgehog). Its description in RNAcentral is "7SK RNA". It matches the Rfam family "7SK RNA". From Rfam's summary of the family: 7SK was discovered as an abundant small nuclear RNA in the mid-70s but a possible function has only recently been suggested. Two independent studies have found that 7SK RNA binds the CDK9/cyclin T complex (known as elongation factor P-TEFb). The record is from Rfam by way of RNAcentral. Lineage: Eukaryota; Metazoa; Chordata; Mammalia; Eulipotyphla; Erinaceidae.
GGAUGUGAGGCUGAUCUGGCUGCAACAUCUGUCACCCCAUUGACCACCAGGGUUGAUUCGGCUGAUUUGGCUGGCUAUGCGGGUGUCCCCUUCCUCCCCUCACCACUCCACGUCUGUCCCUUCUGAUGCUGCUGCACACUCUGUCAAAGAGGACGGCCUUCCCCAAAUAGAGACUAACUGGUCUUACGAGUAGCUGCUCUCCCCUGCUAGAACCUCCAAACAGGCUUUCACAUAAAGCCUUCAGUACAGUGCCCAGCACACAAAAACUAGCAGGGCUAAGAAGCAUCGGACACAUUCACCUUCACAAGAUGACAAGAGCUUCACCAGACUGAGGU